Molecule: non-coding RNA, 70 nt
Organism: Phrynosoma platyrhinos (Desert horned lizard)
Lineage: Eukaryota; Metazoa; Chordata; Lepidosauria; Squamata; Phrynosomatidae
Source: the annotation of a GenBank genome assembly
GCCAGUGUGGCAUAGUGGUUUGAGCCCUGGACUAUGACUUGAGAUCAGGGUUCGAAUCCCCACUCAGCCA